This 464-nucleotide ribosomal RNA is filed under the name uncultured bacterium. RNAcentral's name for it is "bacterial SSU rRNA". It matches the Rfam family "Bacterial small subunit ribosomal RNA", at positions 28 to 507 of the family's 1533-position model. The record is from RNAcentral.
GACGAACGCUGGCGGCGUGCUUAACACAUGCAAGUCGAGCGAGAAAAUUCCCUUCGGGGAUGAUUCUAGCGGCGGACGGGUGAGUAACACGUGGGUAACCUGCCUUAUAGGGGGGAAUAGCCUUCCAAAAGGAAAAUUAAUACCGCAUAAAAUUGUACCUUCGCAUGAAGUACCAAUUAAAGGAGCAAUUCGCUAUAAAAUGGACCCGCGUCGCAUUAGCCAGUUGGCAGGGUAACGGCCUACCAAAGCGACAAUCAGUAGCCGACCUGAGAGGGUGAUCGGCCACUUUGGGACUGAAACACGGCCCAAACUCCUACGGGAGGCAGCAUUAGGGAAUCUUCGGCAAUGGACAAAAGUCUGACCGAGCAACGCCGCGUGAGUGAAAAAUUAUUUCGGUAUGUAAAGCUCUAUCAGCAGGGAAAAAAAUGACGGUACCUGACUAAAAAGCACCGGCUAAAUACGUG